GGGUGGUUGGUGUAGUGGUAACACAGCAGUCUUCGGAACUGUUAUCGGGAGUUCGAUCCUCUCACCGCCUG
This 71-nucleotide transfer RNA is filed under the name bacterium. RNAcentral's name for it is "tRNA-Arg". It matches the Rfam family "tRNA". Rfam says of the family: Transfer RNA (tRNA) molecules are approximately 80 nucleotides in length. Their secondary structure includes four short double-helical elements and three loops (D, anti-codon, and T loops). The record is from RNAcentral. RNAcentral also lists the same sequence under 1 other name.